UCACCAGGUAGGCAGAAUAGUCUUAUAUAGCCAUUUGUUGUCCAGGGCAAUUUUGCCUAUUAAGUCUGUUUCCUCCCAGUUAACCUUCCUUCCAUGAGCCUCUGAAGCUUGAUGUCUGAACUCAGGGAUGGUUUGGAAACCCCUACUUAGGCAGUCUUGGGUCUUCUCAAAUACUGCAGUCUAAUACCAUGUCCUGCCUGCUCUAAAACUGACUCCUGCUCCUUCCGUCUGUUUUUCCCAGUUUACAGAUCUGGCUUGUGUAUUCACUCUCUACAUGUCUAUGUAAGUAACCACAUUCGCAUUGGCUGAGAAGUCAUCACUUGCAAAAUAGUCUUUAUUGAGUUCAAGAGCCAACAUGCUCUCUGGUCCUUCUAAUCCAGCUGUUCUCAACCUUGGCUGCACAUGGAAUCACUGAGGGAGGCCUUGGUCUGCAGUAAAGCCUACACACCUCCCCAGGACUAAGUACGGAUUUCUGAGUAUAACCAUGGAAGAAGACCCUCGAAAGGGAACUGCUGAGUUAAAGGAAAUGUGCCAUUUAUACUUUGGCUAAAUGUUCCCACACUUUCAUUCCUGAAGUUGUGCCAAUUUAUGUUGGUAGAAACAAUGUAUUAGAGCACUUUCCCCAUCAUCAUAAAUACAGUGACUUGGAAGCUAAGGCCCAGAGAGGAGGAGAAACUUGAUCAAAGUCAAUCAGACAAUGCAGAAUCGAGAAAAGUACCUGGACCUCUAUGCCCAUGCUUCUAGCAGCCAGCCUCCUAAAAUACCUCUAGUUGAAGCCAAAGUUAGAAUCCUUCUACGAAACUACAGGAUUAAAAUGGAAUGGUUACAUGACCCAGGCUUGACCAAUCAGAUCAUCCAAACCCUUUGCCACAGUGAUUGGUCCAGGGAUACAUGCAUGAGCCAGCUCAGGUGGCAUUGUAUUAUGCGCCAAGAGUGAACCAGAUAGAGGAAGUUGCUCCUUAAGCUUGCAGGUCUGAAAGAACAAGGAAUUGCCUCUCUUCAAAGAUAAGAAGUCCAGCCACUUCUUUAAUUUAUCGGAUUAUAAGGCCUAAGCCACACUCAUCUUGUGGAUGACACUGGAGCUGUGACAGUCUGUUCUGUCCAGGCAGGGUGUCUUUUAUUUUUAUUGGAAAUAAGAUUAUCACAGCCCUUUGAGAGCUUCUGUGUCUCAACAUCAGAAAAUCAUCCUAGAUCCAUACUUGUACACAACAGUCUGUGCCAGUGAGAUUCAUUCUUUUGGGAGCUCUGCUAAUAAUGCACGAAUUGCUGGCUGUUGAUACUCUUUCUCAUCAACUCCCCAAAUGGAAAUGCUUUCAACCACUGCAGAAGUAAAAAAUUACCCAAAGGCUGUAUGAUGCAAACUCUUUCUUUGGCUUUAUCUUACUGAUAAGAAUAAAAAUAACACCUCACGUAUGUAU
Molecule: long non-coding RNA, 1418 nt
Filed under: Homo sapiens (human)
Lineage: Eukaryota; Metazoa; Chordata; Mammalia; Primates; Hominidae
Description: PREDICTED lncRNA (TCONS_00265601)
Source: RNAcentral